RNAcentral lists this non-coding RNA (793 nucleotides) under Cydistomyia duplonotata. The record is from RNAcentral. Lineage: Eukaryota; Metazoa; Arthropoda; Insecta; Diptera; Tabanidae.
UUAAAGUUUUAUUUUUGCUUAAAGAUUUAUUGUUAAUUUAUUUUACAUGUAAAUUUUUGUAUGAAAUAUAUUAAAUUUUAAAAAUUUAAUAUAUUAAUUUAUUCGCAGUAAUUAAUAUUAUAAUUUUAAAGAAAUUUAGAAAUAGUAAUAUUAUUAAAUAUUAACAAAUUUUGUGCCAGCAGUUGCGGUUAUACAAAAGAUAUAAAUAAAUCUUAUUGGAUGUAGUUAAAUGUAUAAAUAUUUAAAUUAAAAAUAAAUUUAUUAGGUGAAAUUUUAAAUUUAUAAUAAUUUAUUUAAUAAAAUAAUUGAAGCUAGGAAAUUUUAAUUAUAAACUAGGAUUAGAUACCCUAUUAUUUAAAAUGUAAUUAAAAAGUCUUGAGUAGUAAUAGUUAUGGUCUUGAAACUUAAAAAAUUUGGCGGUAUUUUAGUCUAUUCAGAGGAACCUGUCCUAUAAUCGAUAGUCCACGUUGAAUCUUACUUAAAUUUGUUUAUCAAUUUGUAUAUCGCCGUUAUCAGAAUAUUUUAUAAGAAUAAUAAUUUUCUAAAUUUUUUAUAAAUAAUGAUGUCAGGUCAAGGUGCAGUUUAUAUUUAAGUAGAGAUGGGUUACAAUAAAAAUAUUUAUUUAUGGAAAUGAAAUUGAAAUAUUUUAUGGAAGGUGGAUUUGAUAGUAAAAUUAUGUAGAUAAUUAAUUUGAUUAUAGCUCUAAAAUAUGCACACAUCGCCCGUCGCUCUUAUUAUUAAGAUAAGAUAAGUCGUAACAUAGUAGAUGUACUGGAAAGUGUAUCUAGAAUGA